UUUAUUUUUCAUAUUCUGAGACCAAACUACCGUGAUGUAUCCUGCGCUCCAGCCAUUGCUGGGGGUCUCUGGGGGGGGGGGGGGUUAUUACAAACAAGAAAGACUUGUUGAAGGAAGGUGUUGCUCGGGCAGGACAUGGAAUGGAACGUUCCUGUGUGGAACUGACGCUGCGACGGAAUCGCUGUACUGCGCUCUUAGGCGCGCUGCCAGCCUGGCGGGAAAUCGCGGCAGGACAGAGAACAUGAGCCGAGACUACAAUUUUAUUGGAGAAGAGAUCAUUUCCAUUGUAUCCUCAUCACUCUUCAGCUGAAGGACAACAAGCUGCUCCUGGCUUCCUAUUGAAAGGCCACAAUAACCCCCAGCAGGGAAAUUAAGGAUGUUCCUAAAUAAUCAGCAGGACAAAUUCUACUAUUGGUUUAAUUUAGAUAUGACUCCUCCCUCUCCCCAUUGCCCACCUGUUGGUGCUGCUGCCAGGCCUGAAGGCUGAGCUUAUGGCCCAUGGCUAUGGGUGGUUCAAGUAACUGGACAUGGAGUUUGCAUUGGAUCCUUGGAGGAUGGGCCACAUCGGAUAGGCUGGAAUACUGACGGAAAUAUUGCCUGAUCCUCUGCCCAGCGUGACAGCUGAUAUAUGCUUAGAUACAAUGAAACAGGAAAGUGUAUUAAAGGGGAACUUAGCUUAUCUGUGCCCCCCUGAUCUCUACCCCACCCCAUCUCCCCGACUGGCAAAAAGACAACUAUUUCCUCAUACCUAGUGCCAAGCUGUGCGGUGAGGUUGUACUGCCAUGUUUGGCUGCAUUAUUUCUGGCCCCAGGCACCAUGGCGCUGAUCCUAUAGCAGGGCAAGUACGUAUGGUUGGCCAUCACCACCGUGGCAGUGACUUGACUAGACCUGCCAAUCCUGCUGACCAGCUUUGGAUGUCGGCACCAGGUCUGGGGGGGGCACAAGUUGUCUUUUCGGCAGAAGAGGUGAUGUGAUUGGGUAUUUGCAGUGGGUCCUCUGCGUGUUUAGUUCCCCUUUAACUGUGACACUUCCAGCAGCUUCAGCUCUCCAGCUUCUGCAGAACUACUGCUCCCAGCAUUCCCUAAUAGCCGAGGGUUGCUUGGAAUUGUAGUUCAGUGCUGAGUAAAGAGGUUGGUGGGGCAUCCAGAAUUAUAAUUUAUAAACCCUGCCACAAUACACACUAAACACACACAGUCACACACGCAGCCAUACGCACAGUGCCGCGAGUAGCACAGCUUGAUGUGUCGGGGUGCAGCUGUUGCCGGUGACAGGCACGGCUGAGCAGACACCAUAUGGAACGUAGCAGGUCCCCAUAUGGCCCAAUUAGCCCCUCACCUAAACGACUAUCAGUCAAAUAUUUCAUAGUAGCAGAUUCCCGCUUGUUACUUGUUUCCUCUAAUCAAGAAACACUGUGCGACUCGGGGAACAGUUUUACCCCCUUUUGUGUUUGUUGUGUUGUCCUCUGAUGUCUAAUGUUCCUCCCUCCAGCUGUUUCUAACUCUUAGUAAGCUGUCAGGGGUUGCUGGGA
Molecule: long non-coding RNA, 1528 nt
Organism: Xenopus tropicalis (tropical clawed frog)
Lineage: Eukaryota; Metazoa; Chordata; Amphibia; Anura; Pipidae
Exons: 2
Source: RefSeq, a predicted model, not a curated record